Molecule: unclassified non-coding RNA, 433 nt
Filed under: soil metagenome
Description: partial contains 5.8S ribosomal RNA, internal transcribed spacer 2, and large subunit ribosomal RNA
Rfam family: 5.8S ribosomal RNA (bases 1-120)
Source: RNAcentral
GAUGAAGAACGCAGCGAAAUGCGAUACGUAAUGUGAAUUGCAGAAUUCAGUGAAUCAUCGAAUCUUUGAACGCAUAUUGCGCUCUUUGGUAUUCCGAAGAGCAUGCUUGUUUGAGUAUCAGUAAACACCUCAAAGCUUUUGGAUUUUUUAAUCGAAAAGCUUUGGACUUGAGCAAUCCCAACACCAAUCUUUUUGAGAUCGGUGGCGGGUUGCUUGAAAUGCAGGUGCAGCUGACAUUCUCCUGAGCUAAAAGCAUAUUCAUUUAGUCCCGUCAAACGGAUUAUUACUUUUGCUGCAGCUAACAUAAAGGGAGUUUGACCGUAUUGGCUGACUGAUGCAGGAUUUCACAAGGGUCGGCAACGAUUCUUGUUAAACUCGAUCUCAAAUCAAGUAAGACUACCCGCUGAACUUAAGCAUAUCAAUAAGCGGAGGA